GGGAGACCAUGGAAGGGGGUGCGGGUAUACUGAGGGUGGCAAGACGUAGUCGGAAGGACUUGGCGGAAAUGGCACGACGGCGGUUGGAGAAUGGAUAUGUGAAAGGCCCGGGCUCGACCUUGGAGUUUGAGUUAAGACUGUCCAGCUAGUGACAAUUAGAGGGGGGUAGAAUUCAGGGUGUCGCGGUGAAAUGCGUAGAGAUCUCGAGGAAUACCGAUAGCGAAAGCGGCCCCCUGGACAAAGACUGACGCUCAGGUGCUAAUGCGUGGGUAGCAAUCAGGAUUAGAUACCCCUGUAGUC
RNAcentral lists this ribosomal RNA (300 nucleotides) under uncultured Rubrimonas sp. RNAcentral's name for it is "bacterial SSU rRNA". The stretch from base 52 to 300 matches the Rfam family "Bacterial small subunit ribosomal RNA", at positions 547 to 795 of the family's 1533-position model. Lineage: Bacteria; Pseudomonadati; Pseudomonadota; Alphaproteobacteria; Rhodobacterales; Paracoccaceae. The record is from RNAcentral.